Molecule: ribosomal RNA, 1432 nt
Filed under: uncultured Bordetella sp.
Lineage: Bacteria; Pseudomonadati; Pseudomonadota; Betaproteobacteria; Burkholderiales; Alcaligenaceae
Description: partial 16S-23S ribosomal RNA intergenic spacer
Rfam family: Bacterial small subunit ribosomal RNA
Source: RNAcentral
GUUUGAUCAUGGCUCAGAUUGAACGCUGGCGGGAUGCUUUACACAUGCAAGUCAGAACGGCAGCACGGACUUCGGUCUGGUGGCGGAGUGAAGGCAGACAGGUGAGUAAUGUAUCGGUGCCUAGUAGCGGGGGAUAACUACGCGAAAGCGUAGCUAAUACCACAUACGCCCUUCAGGGGGAAAGCGGGGGACCCUUCGGGCCUCGCGCUAUUGAAACGGCCGAUAUCGGAUUCGCUAGUUGGUGGGGUAACGGCUCACCAAGGCGACGAUCCGUAGCUGGUUUGAGAGGACGACCAGCCACGCAGGACUGAGACACAGCCCAGACUCCUACGAGGCGGCAGUGGGGAAUUUUGGACAAUGGAAACCUGAUCCAGCCAUCCCGCGUGUGCGAUGAAGGCCUUCCGGGUUAUCAAGCUUUUGGCAGAAAACGGCACGGAUAAUACCCGUACGGCAGCGAACUGCAGAAUAAGCACCGGCUAACUACAUUGCCAGCAGCCGCGGUAGUGCAUGGUGCAAGAUAAUCGGGCGUAAGCGUGCGCAGGCGGUUCGGAAGAAGAUGUAAAUCGACUGCUGGAACUGCCAUUUUUAACUACCGAGCGGUGUGUCAGAGGGAGGUGGAAUUCCGCGUGUAGCAGUGAAAUGCGUAGAUAUGCGGAGGAACACCGAUGGCGAAGGCGGCAGGACUCAACACUGACGCUCAUGCACGAAAAGCCGGUGAGCAAAACCAGGUUAAGAUAUAUACCGGUAGUCCCGCGCUAAACGAUGUCAACCUGUGAAGGCCUUCGGGCCUUGGUGACACAGCUAACAUGGCGGGAGUUGACCGCCUGGAAGAUACGAUUGCCGGAGUCAACUCAAGAUUGACGAGGGGACCCACUUAGGCAGGUGGAUGAUGGUCAAUUCGAUGCAACGCGAAAAACCUUACCUGCUGAGCAUGUGAAUCCCAGAGAUUUGGGAGUGCUUCUCAGAAAGAACCGGAACACGGUGCUGCAUGGCGUCGUCGCUCAUUGUCGUGAGAUGUUGGGUUAGUCCCGCAACGAGCGCAACCCGCCAUCAUUAGUUUACUUGCUACGAGGAACACUCUAAUGAGACUGCCGGUGACAAACCGGAGGAAGGUGGGGAUGACGUCAAGUCCUCAUGGCCCUUAUGGGUAGGGCUUCACACGUCAUACAAUGAACGUCGGGACAGGUCGCCAACCCGCGAGGGGAGCCAAUCCCAGGAAACUGAUCGUAGUCCGGAUCGCAGUCUGCAACUCGACUGCGUGAAGUCGGGAUCGCUAGUAAUCGCGGAUCAGCAUGUCGCGUUGGUGCCCACAGGGUCUUGUACACACCGCCCGUCACACCAUGGGAGUGGGUUUUGCUUAGAAGUAGUUAGCCUAACCGUAAGGGCGAUUACCACGGUAGGAUUCAUGACUGGGGUGAAGUCGUAACCAAGU